AGGAUGAACGCUGGCGGCGUGCUUAACACAUGCAAGUCGAACGCGCAUCCUCCGAACUUCGGUGAGGGGAGGGCAAGGUGGACGAACGGGUGAGUAACACGUAGGAACCUGCCCUGGAGUGGGGGAAAACGGCUGGAAACGGUCGCUAAUCCCGCAUAGUCUCCUUCGGGAGUAAAGCUUUAGCGCUUCAGGAAGGGCCUGCGGCCUAUCAGGUAGUUGGUGGGGUAAAGGCCUACCAAGCCGAUGACGGGUAGGGGGCGUGAGAGCGCGACCCCCCACACGGGAACUGAGACACGGUCCCGACGCCUACGGGCGGCAGCAGUGAGGAAUCUUGCGCAAUGGGGGGAAACCCUGACGCAGCGACGCCGCGUGCGGGAAGAAGGCCUUCGGGUCGUAAACCGCUUUCUGUGGGACGAGGAAGGACGGUACACAGGAACAAGUCCCGGCUAACUACGUGCCAGCAGCCGC
This 468-nucleotide ribosomal RNA is filed under the name uncultured soil bacterium. RNAcentral's name for it is "bacterial SSU rRNA". It matches the Rfam family "Bacterial small subunit ribosomal RNA", at positions 26 to 518 of the family's 1533-position model. The record is from RNAcentral.